UACGUAGGGGGCAAGCGUUGUCCGGAUUUAUUGGGCGUAAAGAGCGUGUAGGCGGCCUGGAAGGUCAGUUGUGAAAUCUCCGGGCUUAACUCGGAAAGGUCAACUGAUACUGUGCGACUAGAGUGCGGAAGGGGCAACUGGAAUUCUCGGUGUAGCGGUGAAAUGCGUAGAUAUCGAGAGGAACACCUGCGGCGAAGGCGGGUUGCUGGGCCGACACUGACGCUGAUGCGCGAAAGCCAGGGGAGCGAACGGG
This 253-nucleotide ribosomal RNA is filed under the name uncultured bacterium. RNAcentral describes it as "partial 16S ribosomal RNA". It matches the Rfam family "Bacterial small subunit ribosomal RNA", at positions 524 to 776 of the family's 1533-position model. The record is from RNAcentral.